Lepisosteus oculatus (spotted gar) is the source of this 117-nucleotide ribosomal RNA. NCBI's taxonomy places the organism in Eukaryota, Metazoa, Chordata, Actinopteri, Semionotiformes, Lepisosteidae. The record is from Rfam.
GCCAGCAGCCAUAUCACCCUGCAACUCACAGCUGGCAGCCCACUGAAGCCCAGCAGGGUGAGCCUGGUCAGUACCUGGAGGGGAGACUCCUGGGAAAAACUAAGGUUGCUGCUGGAA